AGGUCUUUACUGCUCAAAGCAGAUCACUCUUUUUUUUCUGGAUUAAGUUAGGGUAUUUUUUUGAAUCUUUUUGAAAUGGUGCUUAAACUUACAUAAAGUGAACAUCUUUGAACUGUGAGAAGGCAAAAUGAGAAACCAGAAUAUUUAAUAACUUUAUAUGACUUUAGAAGUACUGAUGUCUUGUAGCAUCUGGAUCCAGGCAUCCUUGGAUGUCUGGAUGUGUCUGUGGUUAACUGCACACUCUGGUCAGAGUGGUUCAAAUUUAGACAAGAAAAUCUCAUACAGUUAAACUGAGUUGAUGGUUCUUUGAUAUGAGAAUAUAGACUAAACAUGUAUCUGAUUCUAGAAGCAUAGUAUAAAUAUAAUAACAAAGAAAAAUGAAGACUUUGUGUCUAAAGCAUAACUUGUUGGUAAACAAUGAGAUUAGAAAAAUAUAAAGGAAAAAACCUUUUUUUUUUUCUAGAGACUGACCAUGACUAUGACUUAGAGUUCAAAGUUUCAAAUCAAUAUUAAUUACAUUUUAUGAAAUUUCCAAUUAAGCGGUUAAGUAGAAAUUGGGCUCAUUAGCUGAAACAAGUUUACAAAGGGCAAUAUUACUCUGGUGGGACUGUUAAACUCUGAGGAUGGUGUUUUAUUUAAUAGACAGCAUGGACUUCAUACAUAUCCAUUAUCAGUGCCUUGAAAACCAAACAACUUUAAAAGUUAGCAGCAGUUUCUGCAAGUACAAAAAUACACAUCUAUUACAUAACAUAUGCUAGUAAAAUUUGUCAAGAUAUAUUAUUAUACAAACUCAAAGCAUUUUAGAUAGAGCAUCAGUCUAAUAUAUUAUAGAUUGACAGAGUAUAAUAAAAUGACACGUAGUCUGUCUUCAAAUCAUACAAUAUUAAUACUUUACAGCAAUAUUAGCUAUUCACAUUAAAUGGUACAGGAGUAUCUAAGGGAACACAGAGACUAGGAGUGGUUACUGAAGAACUUCAGCAUCUAUUUUUCUUCUAUACUUCAAACUGGGUGGACAAUUUUCUACUUGCCAAUAUGAAAGAAAAAAGGCUAGAAAUGUUAUUUUGUUAAGUAGAGAAGCAACUUCUUCUAUAAAGACACUCCAAGCCAUGAGGGCUUCAUUCACAUCUUGUAGUUCUGACAGUAGUAUGCCCUAAGGGUGAGGGGAAUCCCUGCUGCCUUUAUAUAUUACACCACAGAAGGCAAGAGGAGAAAUGUCCACAGACAUGAAGGAAAGCAAUGGGGUCUAGAUCAUGAAUCGUUUAGGGCAGAGCUAUGCAAAACCUUAUGCAAGAAAAGAAAUCCAAAGCCAAAGACUAUUUGAAAAAAGGCCUGUCAGCCACUCUGGUGGCUCUUCUGUGACUCUACAACCUGCCAGCCUCAAAACUGCUCUCUCAAGUGCCAAAUGACAAUUAGAAAAGGAAUGGUUUACCAUUCGUUUUUUCUGGCUAAGAGGCAAAGGGUGGAAGAACAUUUCAGCAAAGAGGAGCCACCCUUUGGC
Molecule: long non-coding RNA, 1498 nt
Filed under: Sus scrofa (pig)
Lineage: Eukaryota; Metazoa; Chordata; Mammalia; Artiodactyla; Suidae
Description: lncRNA (ENSSSCG00000041219.2)
Source: RNAcentral